RNAcentral lists this transfer RNA (69 nucleotides) under Gorillibacterium timonense. It matches the Rfam family "tRNA". Rfam says of the family: Transfer RNA (tRNA) molecules are approximately 80 nucleotides in length. Their secondary structure includes four short double-helical elements and three loops (D, anti-codon, and T loops). Further hydrogen bonds mediate the characteristic L-shaped molecular structure. tRNAs have two regions of fundamental functional importance: the anti-codon, which is responsible for specific mRNA codon recognition, and the 3' end, to which the tRNAs corresponding amino acid is attached (by aminoacyl-tRNA synthetases). tRNAs cope with the degeneracy of the genetic code in two manners: having more than one tRNA (with a specific anti-codon) for a particular amino acid; and 'wobble' base-pairing, i.e. permitting non-standard base-pairing at the 3rd anti-codon position. Lineage: Bacteria; Bacillati; Bacillota; Bacilli; Caryophanales; Paenibacillaceae. The record is from RNAcentral.
CGCUGUAGCUCAACUGGUAGAGCAACUGACUUGUAAUCAGUAGGUUGGGGGUUCAAGUCCUCUCGGCGG